AAACGCUCGACUCCAUCGUGCUGUGCAGGACCUGCAAGCCGCUCCCCACAAUCGCUGCGUCGCGCCGCCCGCCGGAAUGCCCUGCGCGAGCCUUCCCAGAGUCGUCAUCCGUCACCAGCGCAGCGGCUUCCGCCCUGCACAACACGAUGACCGGUCAUCGUCUUUGGCGACGCGAGGACCUUGUCGGCAAGGACGCCGCCGCCGCCCACUACGAUGCAGUGUGAAGUAUGAUGCAGUCGUCCUCGGUGCUUGUUCAACAACCUGAAGGAACCGCCGCCUACAAGGUAGCACCCGCGCCCGAAAACUGCCGCUGAGGUUGAUCGACAUCCUCCCAGAUCGGGGGGAGCCCGCACCACGACGACGGGUUCGGCCGUCCAUGCCGGAGCCGAUCCAGCGCGUCGACGUUGGUCCGGACGGAUUCAGUCCACCUUCUCGCCACCGUUACCGGCACCUACUGUCUAGGAUGUGCGGGUGCUCCAUCAGCAACGAAACUCAAGUCCCUCCAACUCUCAGAUUUGGUAUUCUCUACCUUAGUCCCCUUUGUUGCUUUGUCGAUGAAACUUAAUGAUUCAUGAAUCCCAGCUUUUUUUUGUGCUAAGAUUCAUUUUCUAGGAUUUCCAUGAACAGUUUGUUCACUACUUGUAGCUAAAGUAUAGUACAAUACCUUCAGAUGUUGUUGAAAGUGCAUUACACGGUCCUGUAAGCCAUCACUUUACCCAAUCACUCAAUGUUUCCUUUCCAGGAUAGAUUGAUAUUGUUCGUUGCAAUCUUGAUUUGAGGUCAGCUUACAGCUAUUACUUGCAAGUAUAAUUCUUCCUAAUACAAAGCUGUAUAACGCUAAUCUGAGAAGUAUUUUUUUUGUAGCCCCCAGGAGCAAAAUCGGUUUGCACUAUCUCAGUUAUUUCAUCCCAUAAUAAUAAGCUCACGACUAUCACCAUGGACUGGAUACAAUGGUUUUGGUGAGCAUGGAACACAACUAUCCGGCUCACAGCAAGAUAAUUUUUAAGAACCCGACUAUACUGCUUUCUGAUGAAGCUACAAGUGCACUUGAUGCGGAGUCUAAACGUGUAGUUAAAGAUGCACUAAAUAAUAUCAUGGUGUACAGAGCCACCAGACUUGUGGCGCAUCGCCUGAGCAGUGUCAAAAAUUCUAACACAAUAUCGGUGCUACAUUGUGGACAGCUUGUGGAACAAAGUAACCUGGAUUUCUUCAUCACUUUUCAGCCAGCCUUACUGCAAUGAUCCAGCAAGGGUGAAAUUUCACGUUUCCCUGACAAGAAUAAAAAAAAGCUAUAAUGGGUGUUUGCACAACAAGACCACAGGCUGAGUUGGUAAAGAACUUCAAAGGAGUAUACUCUCAACUUCUACGGCAUUCUACAUUCUAUUGCUGUUAUGCUACAUACUCAGUUAUUAAAAUGAUCCAUGUGAUAGCAAUUUUGAGGGCUUAUAUGAAUUCAUGUAUGCAUGUUCAAGAUAUUUAUAAUUAUUUUUAGGAAUAACUAGGCACUUACAUAUUCCACAAGUCCUUUACAUGAUUUGUGAUAUUUGUAUGCCUUUAAAAUAAUUUCCAUUUUUCGUGUAUUCUUGAUUCUCAAGCAUUGUUCCAAGGUAUAUUGUCUAUUAUUCUUUUCACGCCCACUGUAUCAUUGUGUAGUUAUUUCCAGAUUGUAUUAUUGUGUAGUUAUUUCCAGAUUGAUUCCUAUUCAUGGUAAAAUUUAUAUCAGUUUUGUUGGUGUGAAAAAUGAAUAUGUAAUACAGAAAAGUUUUGUUGUACGUUUUGUUCCUUUUCCCAGUUUUGGUUGUCGACAAGUUUUUUUUCAGUGUUUGUCUGAAUAAUACAUAUAAACGGACAAGUUUGCUUGUAAUUACUGUUCUUGAUGUUAAGGUCGAUCUAUAAAUAAAUCUCUUGUGAAUUUGUUCUCGAUGUACUUGAUGCUGCAUCUGCAGGUAAUCAAUCAUGCUAUACUGAUCUCAUAUUUAAUUUUUUAAUUCAUGUUGUUUCGUGCACAUAAUGUUUACUUCUUUUUUGAUAUGUCCGUGUAUCAUCGGCAGAGGGUUCUGAUGAUAAACAUCUUAUCCAAACUUCACUGGCAGUGUGUUUGAAUUUUACAUGCUUCACAUUGGUGAAAUCAUACGUGGGGAGUUGGCCAGCAUGAAGUUACCACAGGCUUAUGGUGUUCUGGUCUAUCACCAAUUUAGGCUGUCAAUGUCUAAUCCAAUGGGCACAGUAUUGAGCGAAGUGAUAGAUUAUGUUCACCGCAGUACGAGCCGGUGAGCCGUGCGACCCCCGGUCUAGGACAACAUACUUUUCUUUUUGGAGCAUGUGUAUGUUCAUCGGUCUUUUGUCUUGUCCGACUGAUUUUUCCAUUAUGCGUUGUUCAACAGGUUAGGAAAAGUUCCCUCAGGAAUCUAUACUACAAGGAUACAUAUUUAGUUGCCGUUGUAAAUUAGACUAGGGUGUUUGAAGUUAGCAUUAUUCUUACAUAGUUCUCCUGAUGCAAUUAUAUAGCUCUGUAGGUUCUCACAUUUAGAUAUAUUGCCUUGCAAUGUGCUCAAGAGUGUAGCAGAUUAAUUUCAUUUCGUAGAUGAAAAGUUGAUAAGUACAUGAAAGAAUACAGGCAAAGAUGUUUUUAUUUUACUUCCA
Lolium perenne is the source of this 2643-nucleotide long non-coding RNA. RefSeq lists it as uncharacterized. The record is from RefSeq and is a predicted model, not a curated record. NCBI's taxonomy places the organism in Eukaryota, Viridiplantae, Streptophyta, Magnoliopsida, Poales, Poaceae.